RNAcentral lists this microRNA precursor (197 nucleotides) under Oryza rufipogon (brownbeard rice). RNAcentral describes it as "MIR812 microRNA precursor family". It matches the Rfam family "MIR812 microRNA precursor family". Lineage: Eukaryota; Viridiplantae; Streptophyta; Magnoliopsida; Poales; Poaceae. The record is from Rfam by way of RNAcentral.
AAAAAGACAAACUCUAGGUUUCCAUGUCCAACGUUUGACUGUCCGUCUUAUAUGAAUUUUUUUUAUAAUUAGUAUUUUCAUUGUUGUUAGAUGAUAAAAUAUGAUUAAUACUUUAUGCGUGACUUGUCUUUUUAAUUUUUUUUAUAAUUUUUUCAAAUAAGACGGACGGUCAAACGUUGGACACGGAAAUCAGGGUU